CAGUCGCCGCGGUAAAACGUAGGGCGCAAGCGUUAUCCGGAAUUAUUGGGCGUAAAGAGCUCGUAGGCGGUUUGUCGCGUCUGCCGUGAAAGUCCGGGGCUCAACCCCGGAUCUGCGGUGGGUACGGGCAGACUAGAGUGAUGUAGGGGAGACUGGAAUUCCUGGUGUAGCGGUGAAAUGCGCAGAUAUCAGGAGGAACACCGAUGGCGAAGGCAGGUCUCUGGGCAUUAACUGACGCUGAGGAGCGAAAGCAUGGGGAGCGAACAGGAUUAGAUACCCCUGUAGUCCCUGUCUCUUAUAC
Molecule: ribosomal RNA, 301 nt
Filed under: uncultured bacterium
Lineage: Bacteria
Description: partial 16S ribosomal RNA
Rfam family: Bacterial small subunit ribosomal RNA
Source: RNAcentral